This 107-nucleotide small nuclear RNA is filed under the name Canis lupus familiaris (dog). RNAcentral also lists the same sequence under 1 other name. Lineage: Eukaryota; Metazoa; Chordata; Mammalia; Carnivora; Canidae. The record is from RNAcentral.
GUGCUCACUUCACCAGCACAUAUACUAAAAUUGGAAAGAUACAAAGAAGAUUAGCAUGGCCCCUGCUCAAGGAUGACAUGCAAAUUCAUGAAGCGUUCCAUAAUAAA